RNAcentral lists this ribosomal RNA (440 nucleotides) under uncultured bacterium. RNAcentral describes it as "partial 16S ribosomal RNA". It matches the Rfam family "Bacterial small subunit ribosomal RNA", at positions 338 to 795 of the family's 1533-position model. The record is from RNAcentral.
CCUACGGGUGGCAGCAGUGGGGAAUAUUGCACAAUGGGGGAAACCCUGAUGCAGCGACGCCGCGUGGGGGAAGAAGGAUUUCGGAAUGUAAAGCUCUAUUAGCAGGGAAGAAAAUGACGGUACCUGACUAAGAAGCCCCGGCUAACUACGUGCCAGCAGCCGCGGUAAUACGGAGGGUGCAAGCGUUAUCCGGAUUUACUGGGUGUAAAGGGAGCGUAGGCGGGAGAGCAAGUCUGAUGUGAAAGGCCGGGGCUCAACCCUAGGACUGCAUUGGAAACUGUUAGUCUGGAGUACAGGAGAGGUAAGUGGAAUUCCUGGUGUAGCGGUGAAAUCCGUAGAGAUUAGGAGGAACACCCGUGGCGAAGGCGGCCUACUGGACUGUAACUGACGUUGAGGCUCGAAAGCGUGGGGAGCAAACAGGAUUAGAUACCCCAGUAGUC